RNAcentral lists this ribosomal RNA (117 nucleotides) under Minisyncoccota bacterium. Lineage: Bacteria; Bacillati; Minisyncoccota. The record is from RNAcentral.
CCCGGUCUUUAGAGCGAUGUGGUCCGACCUCUUCCCAUUCCGAACAGAGUCGUCAAACGCAUCAGCGCCUACGAUAAUGCCAGCACGAGCUGGUGUGAAAAUAGGUCAAGGCCGGGA